AGCGAACGCUGGCGGCAGGCCUAACACAUGCAAGUCGAGCGGCCGUAGCAAUACGGCAGCGGCAGACGGGAGAGUAACACGUGGGAACGUGCCCUUUGGUUCGGAAUAACGCAGGGAAACUUGCGCUAAUACCGGAUAAGCCCUUAGGGGAAAGAUUUAUCGCCAAAUGGAGCGGCCCGCGUCUGAUUAGCUAGUUGGUGAGGUAACGGCUCACCAAGGCGACGAUCAGAGCUGGUCUGAGAGGAUGAUCAGCCUCACUGGGACUGAGACACGGCCCAGACUCCUACGGGAGGCAGCAGUGGGGAAUAUUGGACAAUGGGCGCAAGCCUGAUCCAGCCAUG
RNAcentral lists this ribosomal RNA (341 nucleotides) under uncultured bacterium. Its description in RNAcentral is "bacterial SSU rRNA". It matches the Rfam family "Bacterial small subunit ribosomal RNA", at positions 29 to 396 of the family's 1533-position model. The record is from RNAcentral.